This 1287-nucleotide ribosomal RNA is filed under the name metagenome. Its description in RNAcentral is "bacterial SSU rRNA". It matches the Rfam family "Bacterial small subunit ribosomal RNA", at positions 242 to 1520 of the family's 1533-position model. The record is from RNAcentral.
UAGCUAGUUGGUGAGGUAACGGCUCACCAAGGCGACGAUCUGUAGCGGGUCUGAGAGGAUGAUCCGCCACACUGGAACUGAGACACGGUCCAGACUCCUACGGGAGGCAGCAGUGGGGAAUUUUGGACAAUGGGGGCAACCCUGAUCCAGCCAUGCCGCGUGAGUGAAGAAGGCCUUCGGGUUGUAAAGCUUUUUCGGCCGGGAAGAAAUCGCAUGGGCCAAUACCCUGUGUGGAUGACGGUACCGGAAUAAGAAGCACCGGCUAACUACGUGCCAGCAGCCGCGGUAAUACGUAGGGUGCGAGCGUUAAUCGAAAUUACUGGGCGUAAAGCGUGCGCAGGCGGUUUUGUAAGACAGGCGUGAAAUCCCCGGGCUCAACCUGGGAACUGCGUUUGUGACUGCAAGGCUAGAGUACGGCAGAGGGGGGUGGAAUUCCACGUGUAGCAGUGAAAUGCGUAGAGAUGUGGAGGAACACCAAUGGCGAAGGCAGCCCCCUGGGUCGAUACUGACGCUCAUGCACGAAAGCGUGGGUAGCAAACAGGAUUAGAUACCCUGGUAGUCCACGCCCUAAACUAUGUCAACUAGGUGUUGGGUGGGUAAAACCAUUUAGUACCGUAGCUAACGCGUGAAGUUGACCGCCUGGGGAGUACGGCCGCAAGGUUAAAACUCAAAGGAAUUGACGGGGACCCGCACAAGCGGUGGAUGAUGUGGAUUAAUUCGAUGCAACGCGAAAAACCUUACCUACCCUUGACAUGCCAGGAACUUGCCAGAGAUGGCUUGGUGCCCGAAAGGGAGCCUGGACACAGGUGCUGCAUGGCUGUCGUCAGCUCGUGUCGUGAGAUGUUGGGUUAAGUCCCGCAACGAGCGCAACCCUUGUCGUUAAUUGCCAUCAUUUAGUUGGGCACUUUAGCGAGACUGCCGGUGACAAACCGGAGGAAGGUGGGGAUGGCGUCAAGUCCUCAUGGCCCUUAUGGGUAGGGCUUCACACGUCAUACAAUGGUCGGUACAGAGGGUCGCCAAGCCGCGAGGUGGAGCCAAUCCCAGAAAGCCGAUCGUAGUCCGGAUUGCAGGCUGCAACUCGCCUGCAUGAAGUCGGAAUCGCUAGUAAUCGUGGAUCAGCAUGUCACGGUGAAUACGUUCCCGGGUCUUGUACACACCGCCCGUCACACCAUGGGAGCGGGUUCCGCCAGAAGUAGGUAGCCUAACCGCAAGGAGGGCGCUUACCACGGCGGGGUUCGUGACUGGGGUGAAGUCGGAACAAGGUAGCCGUAGGGGAACCUGCGGCUG